GUGAGGAAUAUUGGUCAAUGGACGGAAGUCUGAACCAGCCAAGUAGCGUGCAGGAUGACGGCCCUAUGGGUUGUAAACUGCUUUUAUGCGGGGGUAAAGUGAGUGACGUGUCAUUCAUUGCAAGUACCGCAAGAAUAAGGACCGGCUAAUUCCGUGCCAGCAGCCGCGGUAAUACGGAAGGUCCUGGUGUUAUCCGGAUUUAUUGGGUUUAAAGGGAGCGUAGGCCGUCAGGCAAGCGUGUUGUGAAAUGUCGUGGCUCAACCAUGGACUUGCAGCGCGAACUGCCCGACUUGAGUGCGCGGAAAGCAGGCGGAAUUUGUGGUGUAGCGGUGAAAUGCUUAGAUAUCACGAAGAACCCCGAUUGCGAAGGCAGCCUGCUGUAGCGCUACUGACGCUGAAGCUCGAAAGUGCGGGUAUCGAACAGGAUUAGAUACCCCAGUAGUCC
RNAcentral lists this ribosomal RNA (445 nucleotides) under uncultured bacterium. RNAcentral's name for it is "partial 16S ribosomal RNA". It matches the Rfam family "Bacterial small subunit ribosomal RNA", at positions 354 to 796 of the family's 1533-position model. The record is from RNAcentral.